AUUAAACGCUGGCGGCAUGCCUUACACAUGCAAGUCGAACGGCAGCACGGGGGCAACCCUGGUGGCGAGUGGCGAACGGGUGAGUAAAGCAUCGGAACGUGCCCUGGAGUGGGGGAUAACGUAGCGAAAGUUACGCUAAUACCGCAUAUUCUGUGAGCAGGAAAGCAGGGGAUCGCAAGACCUUGCGCUCUGGGAGCGGCCGAUGUCGGAUUAGCUAGUUGGUGGGGUAAAGGCCUACCAAGGCGACGAUCCGUAGCGGGUCUGAGAGGAUGAUCCGCCACACUGGGACCGAGACACGGCCCAGACUCCUACGGGAGGCAGCAGUGGGGAAUUUUGGACAAUGGGCGAAAGCCUGAUCCAGCCAUGCCGCGUGAGUGAAGAAGGCCUCGGUUGUAAG
Molecule: ribosomal RNA, 397 nt
Filed under: uncultured bacterium
Lineage: Bacteria
Description: bacterial SSU rRNA
Rfam family: Bacterial small subunit ribosomal RNA
Source: RNAcentral